UAUCAGUACUCGCCCUAGCAAGGUGAAACCGCGAACGGCUCAUUACAACAGCUAUAAUCCACUCGAUCUUGAGCAGUUACUCGGAUAACUGUGGUAAUUCUAGAGCUAAUACGUGAAGCAAAGCUGUAUUCAUUUGGAUGCAGCGCAUUUAUUGGAGCAAAACCAGGCGGCUUCGGCCGUUCACUGUUGACUCAGAAUAACUAAGCUGAGCGCAUGGUCUUGUACCGGCGCCGUGUCGUUCGAGUGUCUGCCUUAUCAACUUUCGAUGGUAGUGUAUGUGACUACCAUGGUUGUGACGGGUAACGGGGGAUAAGGGUUCGACUCCGGAGAAGGGGCCUGAGAAAUGGCCACUACG
This 355-nucleotide ribosomal RNA is filed under the name Nematoda environmental sample. RNAcentral's name for it is "SSU rRNA". It matches the Rfam family "Eukaryotic small subunit ribosomal RNA", at positions 58 to 414 of the family's 1831-position model. Lineage: Eukaryota; Metazoa; Nematoda. The record is from RNAcentral.